GGAGCAGGUAUCUUGGCCUCGGUGAGGAGGCAGGCGGAAGUCCCGCCCGCGUGGGACUGGCCACAAGCGGAAGAGCCUCUUUUGAAGCUUUCAUUGGAGAGCAACGCGGCUCCGCCACUCUUUGCAUUCUGGCAGAAAUUGCCCAGGACUCGGGCCAGGACGCCCAGACACCUCACCUGACAGACUGUCUGUGGAGCCUGGGACCACCAAGCUGUGGUGAGGUCUGGACGGGUCUCCAGCGCAGGAGCUUCCGUCCCCAUGGAGUUGCAGGGAGACAGCCAGCGAGAGAGGGAACACAAGC
This is a long non-coding RNA of Ailuropoda melanoleuca (giant panda), 301 nucleotides long. RefSeq lists it as uncharacterized. The record is from RefSeq and is a predicted model, not a curated record. Lineage: Eukaryota; Metazoa; Chordata; Mammalia; Carnivora; Ursidae. The transcript has 4 exons.